CAGGAUAGUAGUUUAUAAAAACAUUUGCAUUGGAAGCUAAAAAUCAGGUGGAUACCUGCAUCCUGA
This 66-nucleotide transfer RNA is filed under the name Conus genuanus. RNAcentral describes it as "tRNA-Pro". The record is from RNAcentral. Lineage: Eukaryota; Metazoa; Mollusca; Gastropoda; Neogastropoda; Conidae.